Molecule: non-coding RNA, 75 nt
Organism: Parelaphostrongylus tenuis
Lineage: Eukaryota; Metazoa; Nematoda; Chromadorea; Rhabditida; Metastrongylidae
Source: the annotation of a GenBank genome assembly
CCGUUAGUAGUGCAACACGGUUCAGCACGCGCUUCCAGAAAGAGUGAGCUGUGGGUUCGAGUCCCAGCUAACGCA